GGGGCCACCGGGCAGCGGUUUUUUUUUUUCUGGGACUUUUUCCUGCAAAGUAAGUUGGCACGAAUGUUGGGGCUGGACACUUGUUGGUUUGAGGGUUGCGUGUAUGACGGCUGAAAAGCAAGCAACGAUUGGUAUCGGCGCCUGGAGCCGAGGCUCGGGUUUAAGUUACAUUAUAGCCCCGGCCGGCAGUUAUCGGCAGGCGACGGUCUUGACGCAUCCAGAAAACGCGUCAAGAACAAAAUGUUGCCAGCGCAAUAAAAGCGUCUUAGUUUCCUGCCCUGUUCUUUUGCCAAUGAGCCUCAAACGAAUGCCGAUUCCUGAUCUAGCUGGGAACACCCUCGGCGCAGAGAGCCGCCGGUAGUGGGCGGUGCUGCUCCCGCUGCCCGUACCUGUCAGUAUGGCACCAACUUCAGCACGAACCCAACAACGCUCACUUUACCACUGGCGAUUAUGGAGAGUUCUGGAAAACUGGUGAUUCUUAUGGCUGUAUUCUUGACAGCUCGGCUGCUUUUUUUAUGAAUCAGACGCAGCCUGGUGUGGGCAUGGAGCAGAGCCUGAUGCUUGGCGUGGAGGGUGUGAAGAAGACCAUCCUGCACGGGGGAUCCUCAGAACUACCUCGAUUUGUCACCGGCACAAAGGUGACCUUCCACUUCCGCACGCAGCUGUGUGACGACGAGCGCACAGUGCUGGAUGACAGUAGGAAGGUGGGAGUGCCCAUGGAGAUAGUGAUGGGGAACAUGUUUAAGAUGGAGAUCUGGGAGACGCUGCUUGGCUCCAUGCGGGUCGGGGAGGUGGCCGAGUUCUGGUGCGACGUCAUCCACACAGGACUGUACCCCAUAGUGGCUAAGAGCCUGAGACGCAUCGCAGAGGGGAAAGAUCCUGUGGACUGGCAUAUCCACACCUGCGGCAUGGCCAACGCCUUCGCCUACCACACGCUGGGCUACACCGACCUGGACCAGCUGCAGAAGGAGCCGAAGCCGCUCUGCUUUACGCUGGAGCUGCUGAAGGUGGAGCAGCCGAGCGAGUACCAGCGCGAGUCGUGGGCCCUGAGCAAUGAGGAACGGCUGAAGGCCGUGCCGCUGCUCCAUGGCCAGGGGAACAUGCUCUACAAGCAGGGCCGCUACCAGGAGGCCACGCUCAAGUACAAGGAAGCCCUCAUUUGUAUCAAGAACGUCCAGACCAAGGAAAAAGCAUGGGAGGUCCCCUGGCUGAAGCUGGAGAAGAUGGCCCACACCCUGACCCUCAACUACUGUCAAUGUCUGCUCCGCAUGGAGGAGCACUAUGAGGUCAUCGAGCAUACCAGUGACAUCAUCAGCCAGCACCCAGGUCUCUUCCUCUUUCUGGGCACUGUGCAUGAUGUCAUUAACACUUUUGCACCUGAGUGCAGGUAGCUCUUCUGCUCCCUCAUGGUUACUCUGGCAGAAUCUUCCAGAAGCUACUACUCCUCCACUUCUAGCUUUUACGUCAGCAUUCAGCCGGCGUCCCCCCUCCCACCCCCAGCCCUGAGCUGCAGUGCUCCCGCUUGCCUGCCCGGGUACGAGGCUGCCUCACUGCACACACUGAAUAACAACUGUGUUCUGGGUCCUCUGAAGUAUUGCACACCAGCAGAUUACUGCUCAUCUCUUGUUCUCCAGGCUAUAUCAUGUAUAUAAGACUUCUUGACAUGUACAUUUGUCUGAAGUGCUUUACAGCGGUGUUUCUCAGUCCAGUCCUCUGGGAGCCCCAGACUGUCCAUGUUCUUGCUGCCUCCUACAUCCCAAAAACGUGGACUUUCUGGGGGUCCGCGAGGAUUGGGUUCAGAAACACAGGAUUAAGGGGUCACUAAGGCUUACUUCCUGCGUGCCAAGGCUCACACCCAGGUGUGGAACGAGGACCUGGCCAGGAAGGACUUCCAGAAGGUGCUGGACCUGGACCCCGGCAUGAAGAAGGCAGUGAAGAUGGAGGUGGCG
RNA transcript from Brienomyrus brachyistius, 1949 nucleotides. It is a transcript of the gene named aryl hydrocarbon receptor interacting protein-like 1, with no coding region annotated. The record is from RefSeq and is a predicted model, not a curated record. The transcript has 7 exons. NCBI's taxonomy places the organism in Eukaryota, Metazoa, Chordata, Actinopteri, Osteoglossiformes, Mormyridae.